RNAcentral lists this ribosomal RNA (565 nucleotides) under uncultured Methanosarcina sp. RNAcentral's name for it is "bacterial SSU rRNA". It matches the Rfam family "Archaeal small subunit ribosomal RNA", at positions 339 to 903 of the family's 1478-position model. The record is from RNAcentral. Lineage: Archaea; Methanobacteriati; Methanobacteriota; Methanomicrobia; Methanosarcinales; Methanosarcinaceae.
GCGCGAAAACUUUACAAUGCGGGAAGCCGUGAUAAGGGGGACACCGAGUGCCAGCAUCAUAUGCUGGCUGUCCAGAUGUGUAAAAUACAUCUGUUAGCAAGGGCCGGGCAAGACCGGUGCCAGCCGCCGCGGUAACACCGGCGGCCCGAGUGGUGAUCGUGAUUAUUGGGUCUAAAGGGUCCGUAGCCGGUUUGGUCAGUCCUCCGGGAAAUCUGAUAGCUCAACUAUUAGGCUUUCGGGGGAUACUGCCAGACUUGGAACCGGGAGAGGUAAGAGGUACUACAGGGGUAGGAGUGAAAUCUUGUAAUCCCUGUGGGACCACCUGUGGCGAAGGCGUCUUACCAGAACGGGUUCGACGGUGAGGGACGAAAGCUGGGGGCACGAACCGGAUUAGAUACCCGGGUAGUCCCAGCCGUAAACGAUGUUCGCUAGGUGUCAGACAUGGCGCGACCGUGUCUGGUGCCGCAGGGAAGCCGUGAAGCGAGCCACCUGGGAAGUACGGCCGCAAGGCUGAAACUUAAAGGAAUUGGCGGGGGAGCACAACAACGGGUGGAGCCUGCGGUUU